This 253-nucleotide ribosomal RNA is filed under the name uncultured bacterium. Its description in RNAcentral is "partial 16S ribosomal RNA". It matches the Rfam family "Bacterial small subunit ribosomal RNA", at positions 524 to 776 of the family's 1533-position model. The record is from RNAcentral.
UACGUAGGGCGCAAGCGUUGUCCGGAUUUAUUGGGCGUAAAGAGCUCGUAGGCGGUCUGUCGCGUCGGCUGUGAAAACCCGAGGCUCAACCUCGGGCCUGCAGUCGAUACGGGCAGACUAGAGUGUGGUAGGGGAGACUGGAAUUCCUGGUGUAGCGGUGAAAUGCGCAGAUAUCAGGAGGAACACCGGUGGCGAAGGCGGGUCUCUGGGCCAUUACUGACGCUGAGGAGCGAAAGCGUGGGGAGCGAACAGG